RNAcentral lists this ribosomal RNA (468 nucleotides) under uncultured bacterium. RNAcentral describes it as "partial 16S ribosomal RNA". It matches the Rfam family "Bacterial small subunit ribosomal RNA", at positions 28 to 507 of the family's 1533-position model. The record is from RNAcentral.
GGCGAACGCUGGCGGCGUGCUUAACACAUGCAAGUCGAACGGAAAGGCCCUGCUUUUGUGGGGUGCUCGAGUGGCGAACGGGUGAGUAACACGUGAGUAACCUGCCCUUGACUUUGGGAUAACUUCAGGAAACUGGGGCUAAUACCGGAUAGGAGCUCCUGCUGCAUGGUGGGGGUUGGAAAGUUUCGGCGGUUGGGGAUGGACUCGCGGCUUAUCAGCUUGUUGGUGGGGCAGUGGCUUACCAAGGCUUUGACGGGUAGCCGGCCUGAGAGGGUGACCGGCCACAUUGGGACUGAGAUACGGCCCAGACUCCUACGGGAGGCAGCAGUGGGGAAUAUUGCACAAUGGGCGGAAGCCUGAUGCAGCAACGCCGCGUGCGGGAUGACGGCCUUCGGGUUGUAAACCGCUUUCGCCUGUGACGAAGCGUGAGUGACGGUAAUGGGUAAAGAAGCACCGGCUAACUACGUG